This 497-nucleotide ribosomal RNA is filed under the name uncultured bacterium. Its description in RNAcentral is "partial 16S ribosomal RNA". It matches the Rfam family "Bacterial small subunit ribosomal RNA", at positions 28 to 507 of the family's 1533-position model. The record is from RNAcentral.
GACGAACGCUGGCGGCGUGCCUAAUACAUGCAAGUUGAGCGCUGAAGGUUGGUACUUGUACCAACUGGAUGAGCAGCGAACGGGUGAGUAACGCGUGGGGAAUCUGCCUUUGAGCGGGGGACAACAUUUGGAAACGAAUGCUAAUACCGCAUAAAAACUUUAAACACAAGUUUUAAGUUUGAAAGAUGCAAUUGCUUCACUCAAAGAUGAUCCCGCGUUGUAUUAGCUAGUUGGUGAGGUAAAGGCUCACCAAGGCGAUGAUACAUAGCCGACCUGAGAGGGUGAUCGGCCACAUUGGGACUGAGACACGGCCCAAACUCCUACGGGAGGCAGCAGUAGGGAAUCUUCGGCAAUGGACGAAAGUCUGAACGAGCAACGCCGCGUGAGUGAAGAAGGUUUUCGGAUCGUAAAACUCUGUUGGUAGUGAAGAACGUUGGUGAGAGUGGAAAGCUCAUCAAGUGACGGUAACUACCCAGAAAGGGACGGCUAACUACGUG